GAUGAAGAACGUAGCGAAAUGCGAUAAGUAAUGUGAAUUGCAGAAUUCAGUGAAUCAUCGAAUCUUUGAACGCACAUUGCGCCCCUUGGUAUUCCGGGGGGCAUGCCCGUUCGAGCGUCAUUGCUGCCCUCAAGCACGGCUUGUGUGUUGGGCCUCCGUCCUCCUCCCGGGGGACGGGCCCGAAAGGCAGCGGCGGCACCGCGUCCGGUCCUCGAGCGUAUGGGGCUUCGUCACCCGCUCUUGUAGGCCCGGCCGGCGCUUGCCGACACAUCAAUCUUUUUUCCAGGUUGACCUCGGAUCAGGUAGGGAUACCCGCUGAACUUAAGCAUAUCAAUAAGCGGAGGA
Molecule: unclassified non-coding RNA, 345 nt
Filed under: soil metagenome
Description: partial contains 5.8S ribosomal RNA, internal transcribed spacer 2, and large subunit ribosomal RNA
Rfam family: 5.8S ribosomal RNA (bases 1-120)
Source: RNAcentral